RNAcentral lists this ribosomal RNA (613 nucleotides) under Lactococcus lactis. Its description in RNAcentral is "bacterial SSU rRNA". Lineage: Bacteria; Bacillati; Bacillota; Bacilli; Lactobacillales; Streptococcaceae. The record is from RNAcentral.
AGCUAUAAGUUCUCUGUAUCGCAGCUAACGCAAUAAGCACUCCGCCUGGGGAGUACGACCGCAAGGUUGAAACUCAAAGGAAUUGACGRGGGCCCGCACAAGCGGUGGAKCAUGUGGUUUAAUUCGAAGCAACGCGAAGAACCUUACCAGGUCUUGACRUACUSGUGCUAUUCCUAGAGAUAGGAAGUUCCUUCGGGACACGGGAUACAGGUGGUGCAUGGUUGUCGUCAGCUCGUGUCGUGAGAUGUUGGGUUAAGUCCCGCAACGAGCGCAACCCCUAUUGUUAGUUGCCAUCAUUAAGUUGGGCACUCUAACGAGACUGCCGGUGAUAAACCGGAGGAAGGUGGGGAUGACGUCAAAUCAUCAUGCCCCUUAUGACCUGGGCUACACACGUGCUACAAUGGAUGGUACAACGAGUCGCGAGACAGUGAUGUUUAGCUAAUCUCUUAAAACCAUUCUCAGUUCGGAUUGUAGGCUGCAACUCGCCUACAUGAAGUCGGAAUCGCUAGUAAUCGCGGAUCAGCACGCCGCGGUGAAUACGUUCCCGGGCCUUGUACACACCGCCCGUCACACCACGGGAGUUGGGAGUACCCGAAGUAGGUUGCCUAACCGC